This 45-nucleotide non-coding RNA is filed under the name Schistosoma margrebowiei. The record is from RNAcentral. Lineage: Eukaryota; Metazoa; Platyhelminthes; Trematoda; Strigeidida; Schistosomatidae.
AUCCAGCUGAUGACUCUUAAAUAGGAUGAAAUGCGCGUCCUAGAU